CCUACGGGUGGCAGCAGUGGGGAAUAUUGGACAAUGGGCGAAAGCCUGAUCCAGCCAUGCCGCGUGUGUGAAGAAGGCCUUCGGGUUGUAAAGCACUUUCAGUGGGGAAGAAAGCCUUGGGGCUAAUACCCUCGAGGAAGGACAUCACCCACAGAAGAAGCACCGGCUAACUCCGUGCCAGCAGCCGCGGUAAUACGGAGGGUGCGAGCGUGAAUCGGAAUUACUGGGCGUAAAGCGCGCGUAGGCGGUCUGAUAAGCCGGUUGUGAAAGCCCCGGGCUCAACCUGGGAACGGCAUCCGGAACUGUCAGGCUAGAGUGCAGGAGAGGAAGGUAGAAUUCCCGGUGUAGCGGUGAAAUGCGUAGAGAUCGGGAGGAAUACCAGUGGCGAAGGCGGCCUUCUGGACUGACACUGACGCUGAGGUGCGAAAGCGUGGGUAGCAAACAGGAUUAGAUACCCGUGUAGUC
Molecule: ribosomal RNA, 465 nt
Filed under: Vreelandella stevensii
Lineage: Bacteria; Pseudomonadati; Pseudomonadota; Gammaproteobacteria; Oceanospirillales; Halomonadaceae
Description: partial 16S ribosomal RNA
Rfam family: Bacterial small subunit ribosomal RNA
Source: RNAcentral